UACGUAGGGGGCAAGCGUUGUCCGGAUUUAUUGGGCGUAAAGAGCGUGUAGGCGGCUGGGUAGGUCCGUUGUGAAAACUCGAGGCUCAACCUCGAGACGCCGAUGGAAACCCUCCAGCUAGAGUCCGGAAGAGGAGAGUGGAAUUCCUGGUGUAGCGGUGAAAUGCGCAGAUAUCAGGAGGAACACCGGUGGCGAAGGCGGAUCUCUGGGCCAUUACUGACGCUGAGGAGCGAAAGCGUGGGGAGCGAACAGG
Molecule: ribosomal RNA, 253 nt
Filed under: uncultured bacterium
Lineage: Bacteria
Description: partial 16S ribosomal RNA
Rfam family: Bacterial small subunit ribosomal RNA
Source: RNAcentral